ACUGGUUUUGACAGCAAGACCAAUGGUAAUGUAAGCAUGCCGAGCUAUGGAAUCGAUGCUCGUUAAUCUCUGUUCCAACUUUUUAAAUGGCGAAAAUAACUACGCUUUAGCUGCUUAAUUGACUGAAUUAUAGUAAGUCCAAGCCUAGUCCCGCCAGGCGGGAAAGCUGAAUGUUCCUUGGUAGCCCUUGUUGAUGGCGACCUUUUUAGGAGCACCAUAAAAGUCAACAUAGCGUUUUUACGGCUUCGGUAAGAGCGUAAACCUAAAGAAGCUAAGGGUAUGGUAGGCGGUUUUUGGUCAGCCUUACCACGAAAACCGAACAAAAACUAAGCAUGUA
Molecule: transfer-messenger RNA, 337 nt
Filed under: Flagellimonas meridianipacifica
Lineage: Bacteria; Pseudomonadati; Bacteroidota; Flavobacteriia; Flavobacteriales; Flavobacteriaceae
Description: Muricauda pacifica tmRNA
Rfam family: transfer-messenger RNA
About the family: Bacterial tmRNA, also known as 10Sa RNA or SsrA, is named for its dual tRNA and mRNA-like properties. Its role is to liberate the mRNA from a stalled ribosome. To accomplish this part of the tmRNA is used as a reading frame that ends in a translation stop signal.
Source: RNAcentral